CGAUGCGUAGGGGUUCUGAGAGGAAGGUCCCCCACACUGGUACUGAGACACGGGCCAGACUCCUACGGGAGGCAGCAGUGAGGAAUAUUGGUCAGUGGGCGGGAGCCUGAACCAGCCAAGUCGCGUGAGGGAAGACGGUCCUACGGAUUGUAAACCUCUUUUGCCGGGGAGCAACGGGGUCCUUGCGAGGGCCCGAUGAGAGUACCCGGAGAAAAAGCAUCGGCUAACUCCGUGCCAGCAGCCGCGGUAAUACGGAGGAUGCGAGCGUUAUCCGGAUUUAUUGGGUUUAAAGGGUGCGUAGGCGGGCUGUUAAGUCAGCGGUCAAAUGUCGGGGCUCAACCCCGGCCUGCCGUUGAAACUGGCGGCCUCGAGUGGGCGAGAAGUAUGCGGAAUGCGUGGUGUAGCGGUGAAAUGCAUAGAUAUCACGCAGAACUCCGAUUGCGAAGGCAGCAUACCGGCGCCCUACUGACGCUGAGGCACGAAAGCGUGGGUAUCGAACAGGAUUAGAUACCCUGGUAGUCCACGCAGUAAACGAUGAAUGCUAGCUGUCCGGUUCUACGGGACUGG
RNAcentral lists this ribosomal RNA (567 nucleotides) under uncultured bacterium. Its description in RNAcentral is "bacterial SSU rRNA". It matches the Rfam family "Bacterial small subunit ribosomal RNA", at positions 277 to 842 of the family's 1533-position model. The record is from RNAcentral.